Molecule: ribosomal RNA, 264 nt
Filed under: uncultured bacterium
Lineage: Bacteria
Description: partial 16S ribosomal RNA
Rfam family: Bacterial small subunit ribosomal RNA
Source: RNAcentral
UGUCUCCUACGGGGCGCAGCAGUGAGGAAUAUUGGUCAAUGGUCGGGAGACUGAACCAGCCACGCCGCGUGAGGGAUGAAGGUACAGAGUAUCGUAAACCUCUUUUGUCAGGGAACAAAGGCGGGGACGCGUCCCCGGAUGAGUGUACCUGAAGAAAAAGCCCCGGCUAACUACGUGCCAGCAGCCGCGGUAAUACGGAGGAUGCGAGCGUUAUCCGGAUUUAUUGGGUUUAAAGGGUGCGCAGGCGGUCUGUUAAGUCAGCGG